CUGAUGCAGCACGCCGCGUGAGGGAUGACGGCCUUCGGGUUGUAAACCUCUUUUAGCAGGGAAGAAGCGAAAGUGACGGUACCUGCAGAAAAAGCGCCGGCUAACUACGUGCCAGCAGCCGCGGUAAUACGUAGGGCGCAAGCGUUAUCCGGAAUUAUUGGGCGUAAAGAGCUCGUAGGCGGUUUGUCGCGUCUGCUGUGAAAUCCCGAGGCUCAACCUCGGGCCUGCAGUGGGUACGGGCAGACUAGAGUGCGGUAGGGGAGAUUGGAAUUCCUGGUGUAGCGGUGGAAUGCGCAGAUAUCAGGAGGAACACCGAUGGCGAAGGCAGAUCUCUGGGCCGUAACUGACGCUGAGGAGCGAAAGGGUGGGGAGCAAACAGGCUUAGAUACCCUGGUAGUCCACCCCGUAAACGUUGGGAACUAGUUGUGGGGACCAUUCCACGGUUUCCGUGACGCAGCUAACGCAUUAAGUUCCCCGCCUGGGGAGUACGGCCGCAAGGCUAAAACUCAAAGGAAUUGACGGGGACCCGCACAAGCGGCGGAGCAUGCGGAUUAAUUCGAUGCAACGCGAAGAACCUUACCAAGGCUUGACAUACACCAGAACGGGCCAGAAAUGGUCAACUCUUUGGACACUGGUGAACAGGUGGUGCAUGGUUGUCGUCAGCUCGUGUCGUGAGAUGUUGGGUUAAGUCCCGCAACGAGCGCAACCCUCGUUCUAUGUUGCCAGCACGUAAUGGUGGGAACUCAUGGGAUACUGCCGGGGUCAACUCGGAGGAAGGUGGGGAUGACGUCAAAUCAUCAUGCCCCUUAUGUCUUGGGCUUCACGCAUGCUACAAUGGCCGGUACAAAGGGCUGCAAUACCGUGAGGUGGAGCGAAUCCCAAAAAGCCGGUCCCAGUUCGGAUUGAGGUCUGCAACUCGACCUC
This 924-nucleotide ribosomal RNA is filed under the name Microbacterium sp. Its description in RNAcentral is "bacterial SSU rRNA". It matches the Rfam family "Bacterial small subunit ribosomal RNA", at positions 383 to 1319 of the family's 1533-position model. Lineage: Bacteria; Bacillati; Actinomycetota; Actinomycetes; Micrococcales; Microbacteriaceae. The record is from RNAcentral.